Molecule: ribosomal RNA, 253 nt
Filed under: uncultured bacterium
Lineage: Bacteria
Description: partial 16S ribosomal RNA
Rfam family: Bacterial small subunit ribosomal RNA
Source: RNAcentral
UACGUAGGGCGCAAGCGUUAUCCGGAAUUAUUGGGCGUAAAGAGCUCGUAGGCGGUUUGUCGCGUCUGCCGUGAAAGUCCGGGGCUCAACUCCGGAUCUGCGGUGGAUACGGGCAGACUAGAGUCAGGUAGGGGAGAACGGAAUUCCUGGUGUAGCGGUGAAAUGCGCAGAUAUCAGGAGGAACACCGGUGGCGAAGGCGGUUCUCUGGGCCUGUACUGACGCUGAGGAACGAAAGCGUGGGGAGCGAACAGG